CCUCGACUGCGACUGUCGCUACAACAAGUAAAGGUACAACAAGUAAAGGUACAACAAGUAAAGCGGCGGCAACUACAGUGGCUGCAACAAAAACUACUGAAG
Long non-coding RNA from Argiope bruennichi, 102 nucleotides. RefSeq lists it as uncharacterized. The transcript has 5 exons. The record is from RefSeq and is a predicted model, not a curated record. Lineage: Eukaryota; Metazoa; Arthropoda; Arachnida; Araneae; Araneidae.